This 597-nucleotide ribosomal RNA is filed under the name uncultured archaeon. RNAcentral's name for it is "bacterial SSU rRNA". It matches the Rfam family "Archaeal small subunit ribosomal RNA", at positions 80 to 656 of the family's 1478-position model. The record is from RNAcentral.
GGCGUACGGCUCAUUAACACGUAGUCAACCUGCCCUAGAGACACGGACAACCCCGGGAAACUGGGAUUAAUCCGUGAUAGGUCAUCUCACCUGGAAGGAGAGAUGGCUUAAAGGGAUGCGAGAGCUUCUUUCUUGUAUCCGCUCUAGGAUGGGACUGCGGCCGAUCAGGCUGUUGGUGGGGUAAUGGCCCACCAAACCUGUAACCGGUACGGGCCUUGAGAGAGGGGGCCCGGAGAUGGACACUGAGAGAAAGGGUCCAGGUCCUACGGGGCGCAGCAGGCGCGAAACCUUCGCAAUGCGCGAAAGGCGUGACGAGGUUAAUCCGAGUGGUCCCCGCUGAGGGGACUUUUGCCAGCUGUAAAAGGCGCCGGUGAGAAUAAGGGGAGGGCAAGUCUGGUGUCAGCCGCCGCGGUAAUACCAGCUCCUCGAGUGGUCGGGGCGAUUAUUGGGCCUAAAGCAUCCGUAGCCUGUUCUGUAGGUCCUCUGUCAAAUCCAACGGCUUAACCGUUGGCCCGCAGAGGAUACCGCAGGACUAGGAGGCGGGAGAGGUGGACGGUACUCCACGUGUAGGGGUAAAAUCCUUUGAUCCGUGGAAGA